This 492-nucleotide ribosomal RNA is filed under the name uncultured bacterium. RNAcentral describes it as "partial 16S ribosomal RNA". It matches the Rfam family "Bacterial small subunit ribosomal RNA", at positions 29 to 507 of the family's 1533-position model. The record is from RNAcentral.
AGUGAACGCUGGCGGUAGGCCUAACACAUGCAAGUCGAACGGCAGCACAGUAAGAGCUUGCUCUUACGGGUGGCGAGUGGCGGACGGGUGAGGAAUACAUCGGAAUCUACUUUUUCGUGGGGGAUAACGUAGGGAAACUUACGCUAAUACCGCAUACGACCUACGGGUGAAAGCAGGGGAUCUUCGGACCUUGCGCGAUUGAAUGAGCCGAUGUCGGAUUAGCUAGUUGGCGGGGUAAAGGCCCACCAAGGCGACGAUCCGUAGCUGGUCUGAGAGGAUGAUCCAGCAACACGGAAACGAGAACAGGGUCCGGAGUCCUAGGGAGGGCGGCGGUGGGAAUUUUUGACCAAGGGGCGCAGCCUGAUCCCGGCAUUCCGGGUGGGUGAAGAAGGCCUUUCGGUUUGAAAGCCCCUUUUUUGGGAAAGAAAAGCCGCCGGUUAAUACCCCGGUGUUUUGAAGGUAACCAAAGGAUAAGCCACGGGCAAAUUCGUG